UGGUGCGCUUGCCCACGCAUGCGCAGUGGCGCAGCCGGCGGGACGUGCCUCGGCUAGCGUGGCCGGGCCCCACGCGUGGCGUGGGACCUGCCCGCCGCCCGCCUCCGCGGUGGGAGUUUUAAGGCGCGUUUGGCAGCUGGAGUGCGUGGCGUCUGUCGGGAAAGCCGGGAGCUUUGUUCUGCCUCUCUCGAGGGCACUUCGCCUUUUUAAAGGGAAAACCAACUCUGUCCAUAUUUUCUUUGCCUCAACUAUCCUUUUGCAUCUCACCUUCUCUUAUACCUCGUGAAGACAGAACAGAUCCUCGAGAAGAUCAGGACAGAGCCAGACACGUGUGAUAUUGCCACUUGGAGAUCCGAGUGAACUCUGAAUUAGGAAACCUGCCAUUUCAUUUGUUCUCUACCUUCCCUACAACAUGAUGCACACCAGCCCUUCUGCUUUUCCUCUUGCUGUGUGCCCUCACGGAUACAUAAUCCUCAUGGUUCAAAACCAUAUAAAGAAAAUGUAGUUUGAAAGGGUUUACUACCACAGGUUUGGGUUAACUUUGAUCAUUUCAGUGCCACAAUGGGAUUAGAAACCUAGAAAGAAAGAGAUUUAUGAAAAGACUCCUCAAAGCUUCUGGCUUGGUAAGUGUUUCUAAUGGUUAUGGGGAGCGACUGAAUUUAUUUUAACUCACACAUGUACUCACACCCUCACAUAAACGCACCAACAAAUCCUGAGGUUGCUCUUUGUAAACUUUUUUAGAUUGCAUUUCUCUUCCUCGCUGACCCUUUCAUGUAAUGAUAUUGUUGGGUAUUUUCUUUUUUUCUCCCUGAGUUGAUAUCAGCAAAACUCAAAUUACUGUAACUGAUAUUUGAAAAUUCUCCCUGUGUCAAGUGAAGACUUAUGGUGCUGAAAUCAAUAAGACUGUUUAAAAUUCAAAGACCUGCAAAUCGUUCUGUUUGUCCUUUGAUAGGGCCUGGGCUGAUUAAAAUGCGACCAAGAAAGCUUAAUUGCUGCACUAAUUAAGAAGUCUUUAAUUUCUUUCCUGAAAUAUUGUUUGAAGCAGGGUUUCUGUUCUGUUCAUGUCACUGUUCAGGGCAGGUAUUCUUUCUGUUUCUCUCUUUUUUUUUUUCUUUUGACCAUUUUGGUAUAUUAAAAUGUGUGUUAAAGCAGUAAGAGGUAUUGACAGUGAUUGUAAUUUAUUGCUCUAAAAAAAGACUGUUAUGGACUUCACUAUUUUAUUAAAUUUCAAUUUUGAGGGCAGCUGUAAAGGGUAAAAUGCAAUUAGAAAAUGCAUUGUAGCUGUUGCAUUUUAAGGAAUCUGAAUACCUGACUGACAUGAGAUAGGAUAGUACAUCAGCUCCCUCCCCCUUCUUCAGUUAUUAUUGAUAAUUAAAUAUUUAAAUUCAUUCAGAAAAAACAGUAAAGUAUUAAUCUUCUGAACGUGUGUGAAGGAAUGGACCGGGGGGAGGGGAAGCAUACAGAAGAUAGGCACCUGGUAAGGAUGAAUAGUGUAUUACCCUGUUAAGUUCAUCCACAAUAUUUUUUUCUGCAUUUCUUUUGAAUUUAUUUUCCUGAGAAAUACCUUGUCUGUCUUGUAUUUUGUCUUAUCCUUGUCUAGUGAUCUAUUUUGUUCACCAGUUUCUGAAGAGAAGAAACUAAAUGAUUUCACAAAGCUUUCUGUGUGAUCAAUAGAGUAACGUUUUAGGUUUAAUCACACUGCAUUAUAAUUCUGGCAAACGACCACCGAGCAGAAGAUUCUAAGAAAGGAGCAAGUACUGGCAAAGAGAAGGUAAGUUCUGUUUUGCUUUUAAUCUCCAGGGUCUCGAGCAGCAAUCCUCCUUUCAGGAGCUAUCUGUUAUUUAGAGGGAAGACUGAGAAAGAGGGAGGGACCUUAUACCGAAUCCCCCCCGCAUCGCUCAGGAAAAUAGACUCAUAGAAAUGUAAGUCUGUGAAUUGGGAUUCUUUUUCUUCCCCUUCCACCAAGAUACUUACUAAACAUUGAAAACACGAUGAAUACAGUUGAGAUUGAAGUGUUGUACCAGUAAUAAAAAACUGGAUGCUGCAGUGCUGUUUUUCUAAUUGUUGCAUUGUAGUCAAACUAGCACAGACCUUGUCCAAUACAAAUACAAACUGGAUUCCUUUCAGUGACAGGACAAGUAGAUAACAUGCUUAAUAGAUACAAAGGGAGAUUUACCAUUCCAAGCACGAUGUCACGCUAAUUAUGUUUACUCUAAUUGAAAGCAAGGUUUGGGGGAACCUGAAAGUACUCAUAGGAUAUUUUUAAUAACUGAAUAAUAAUAAAGUGCAGCAAACGUUGAUCACAAA
Long non-coding RNA from Harpia harpyja (harpy eagle), 2307 nucleotides. RefSeq lists it as uncharacterized. NCBI's taxonomy places the organism in Eukaryota, Metazoa, Chordata, Aves, Accipitriformes, Accipitridae. The transcript is spliced from 2 exons. The record is from RefSeq and is a predicted model, not a curated record.